GAUGAACGCUAGCGAUAGGCUUAACACAUGCAAGUCGAGGGGCAGCAUGGUCUUAGCUUGCUAAGACUGAUGGCGACCGGCGCACGGGUGCGUAACGCGUAUGCAACUUGCCUCACAGAGGGGGAUAACCCGUCGAAAGACGGACUAAUACCGCGUACACUUGGGAUAGGGCAUCCUGACCCAAGGAAAUAAAAUUCGCUGUGAGAUAGGCAUGCGUCCCAUUAGCUAGUUGGUGAGGUAACGGCUCACCAAGGCGACGAUGGGUAGGGGAACUGAGAGGUUGAACCCCCACACUGGUACUGAGACACGGACCAGACUCCUACGGGAGGCAGCAGUGAGGAAUAUUGGUCAAUGGGCGAGAGCCUGAACCAGCCAAGUCGCGUGAAGGAUGACUGUCUUAUGGAUUGUAAACUUCUUUUAUACGGGAAUAACAAGAGUCACGUGUGGCUCCCUGCAUGUACCGUAUGAAUAAGCAUCGGCUAACUCCGUG
This 490-nucleotide ribosomal RNA is filed under the name uncultured bacterium. RNAcentral's name for it is "partial 16S ribosomal RNA". It matches the Rfam family "Bacterial small subunit ribosomal RNA", at positions 28 to 507 of the family's 1533-position model. The record is from RNAcentral.